GACGAACGCUGGCGGCGUGCUUAACACAUGCAAGUCGAACGAAGUGGCGAACGGGUGAGUAUUACGUGGGUAACCUGCCCUCCUUUUUGGGAUAAGCCUUGGAAACGGGGACUAAUACCGAAUAAAGGGGGAUGGGCUCGCGGCUUAUCAGCUUGUUGGUGGGGUGAUGGCCUACCAAGGCGGUGACGGGUAGCCGGCCUGAGAGGGUGACCGGCCACAUUUGGAGUGGGAUACGGCCCAGACUGCGAGGGGAGGCAGCAGUGGGGGAUAUGGCACAAUGGACGAACGCCUGAUGCAGCGACGCCGCGUGGGGGUUGAAGGCUUUGGGGUUGUAAACCUCUUUGGCUGUCGAUCGGGUAGGUGGAGAAGAAGCGCCGGCUAACUACGUGCCAGCAGCCGCGGUAAUAC
This 408-nucleotide ribosomal RNA is filed under the name uncultured bacterium. RNAcentral's name for it is "partial 16S ribosomal RNA". It matches the Rfam family "Bacterial small subunit ribosomal RNA", at positions 28 to 526 of the family's 1533-position model. The record is from RNAcentral.